AAGGUUUUUGAGCCGUAAAUCA
RNAcentral lists this microRNA (22 nucleotides) under Schmidtea mediterranea. Its description in RNAcentral is "sme-miR-2156b-5p". Lineage: Eukaryota; Metazoa; Platyhelminthes; Tricladida; Dugesiidae. The record is from miRBase by way of RNAcentral.